UACGAAGGGUGCAAACGUUGCUCGGAAUUAUUGGGCGUAAAGCGCACGUAGGCGGCUUUGCAAGUCGGAUGUGAAAUCCCUCGGCUUAACCAAGGAAGUGCAUCCGAAACUGCAGAGCUUGAGUACUUAAGAGGAUCGCGGAAUUCCCGGUGUAGAGGUGAAAUUCGUAGAUAUCGGGAGGAAUACCUGUGGCGAAGGCGGCCUACUGGGCCGGACCUGACGCUGAGACGCGAAGGCGUGGGGAGCGAACGGG
Molecule: ribosomal RNA, 253 nt
Filed under: uncultured bacterium
Lineage: Bacteria
Description: partial 16S ribosomal RNA
Rfam family: Bacterial small subunit ribosomal RNA
Source: RNAcentral